UGGAGCUGUGUUCCACCUGCCGCCUGGCACUCAGGCCCCACCCUUCCUGCUCUUGGUGCCUCAAGUAGUCUCCACCAACCCUGUGGUGUGGCCAGCCCCAUGCUGCUCAAGCUGCAGCAAAAGAGGAAGCAGACACUGCUCUCAAGAGUGUUGCAGCUUGAUCGGUAAAACAGCUACUUCUGUUGAAGAAUCUACCAGCCAUCGUGCCUCUUUGGACCAAGGACCCCUGAGACACCAGCUCCUGUGCCUGUCCUAACCUCCCCCGAGAGCUGCUUCCUCCUUGCCUGUGAGAAGGCCUUAGCAGCAUGAGCCCAGCUGCUCUACCUUCUCCUCCCCUUCCUCCAGCAAGGUGAGCUCUAUAUCCCCAGCCCAGAGAAGUGGGCUUGCUCCUCAAAUGUCCAGGGGCCAGCCCCAAGCUGUGAUGAUUCAGGGAGAUUCCAGGGUGAGGGAGAGCAGGGAAUGAUU
This 465-nucleotide long non-coding RNA is filed under the name Homo sapiens (human). RNAcentral's name for it is "non-protein coding lnc-STRA6-2:1". Lineage: Eukaryota; Metazoa; Chordata; Mammalia; Primates; Hominidae. The record is from RNAcentral.